GGGCCAGAUAAGCCAGAGUCCCAGGGUCUUGUUCACGCCCCAUUACCGCUCCCAGGUUCCUCGAUCAAGGUCUGGACGACAACUAUUGCCGGAAUCCUGACGGCUCCGAGCGGCCAUGGUGCUACACUACGGAUCCGCAGAUCGAGCGAGAGUUCUGUGACCUCCCCCGCUGCGGGUCCGAGGCACAACCCCGCCAAGAGGCCACAACUGUCAGCUGCUUCCGCGGGAAGGGUGAGGGCUACCGGGGCACAGCCAAUACCACCACCGCGGGCGUACCUUGCCAGCGUUGGGACGCGCAAAUCCCGCAUCAGCACCGAUUUACGCCAGAAAAAUACGCGUGCAAGUGAGGUGGGGGGGGGGCGGGCGUUGGGACGUGCUGCUGCGGGUGAGACGGGAGGAGGGUAGUCACCGGCUUAGGGCUGGAGGCUGGCGGGCUAGGGCUGAGUGGAGCGCCUGCUUAGAGACCUUCGGGAGAACUUCUGCCGGAACCCCGACGGCUCAGAGGCGCCCUGGUGCUUCACACUGCGGCCCGGCAUGCGCGUGGCCUUUUGCUACCAGAUCCGGCGUUGUGCAGACGACGUGCGGCCCCAGGACUGCUACCACGGCGCAGGGGAGCAGUACCGCGGCACGGUCAGCAAGACCCGCAAGGGUGUCCAGUGCCAGCGCUGGUCCGCUGAGACGCCGCACAAGCCGCAGUUCACGUUUACCUCCGAACCGCAUGCACAACUGGAGGAGAACUUCUGCCGGAACCCAGAUGGGGAUAGCCAUGGGCCCUGGUGCUACACGAUGGACCCAAGAACCCCAUUCGACUACUGUGCCCUGCGACGCUGCGCUGAUGACCAGCCGCCAUCAAUCCU
This 857-nucleotide small RNA is filed under the name Pongo abelii (Sumatran orangutan). RNAcentral describes it as "retained intron". Lineage: Eukaryota; Metazoa; Chordata; Mammalia; Primates; Hominidae. The record is from RNAcentral.